GCAGUAGCCACGGUAAUACGUAGGGUGCAAGCGUUAAUCGGAAUUACUGGGCGUAAAGCGUGCGCAGGCGGUUAUAUAAGACAGAUGUGAAAUCCCCGGGCUCAACCUGGGAACUGCAUUUGUGACUGUAUAGCUAGAGUACGGCAGAGGGGGAUGGAAUUCCGCGUGUAGCAGUGAAAUGCGUAGAUAUGCGGAGGAACACCGAUGGCGAAGGCAAUCCCCUGGGCCUGUACUGACGCUCAUGCACGAAAGCGUGGGGAGCAAACAGGAUUAGAUACCCCUGUAGUCCCUGUCUCUUAUAC
This 302-nucleotide ribosomal RNA is filed under the name uncultured bacterium. RNAcentral's name for it is "partial 16S ribosomal RNA". It matches the Rfam family "Bacterial small subunit ribosomal RNA", at positions 508 to 807 of the family's 1533-position model. The record is from RNAcentral.